This 741-nucleotide small RNA is filed under the name Pan troglodytes (chimpanzee). RNAcentral describes it as "retained intron". Lineage: Eukaryota; Metazoa; Chordata; Mammalia; Primates; Hominidae. The record is from RNAcentral.
GAGCCUGCCUCUGGGUAAGCCUCCUGCUGCCUGCACUUGUCCCUCAGCCCUCUUAGGGGAGAGCCGGCGGCAUGAUGCGACCUUGAGCAGGUCCCUUCUCCCUGGGUCCCAGAUUUUAUCAAACGAGGGCUUAGACUUGCUCUUAGCAGAAGAUCCCCUUCUUCCUCUCCCUCAUCAUAUCUGUCUGGGCAUUCCAAGCAUCAGGGAUUCAGGCCAGAGUCACGUAGUUCCAGGGGGUACUAUUGUCAUUUCUAGUCUAUUGACAUGCACAAUAACUAGCCAGUGUAAGUGGCAUAUCCCUGAGGACAUGCAAUGCAGCCGCCCUGUGGAAGAACAGGAGGGAACACUAACUCAGGUGCCUCAUGGGAGUGGCAUGGCGGGAAGCUGAUGGAGUUUGGGCUCAUGCUGGGCUGAUGCCCUCAGCUUCUCUCGCUUCUCUUCCCUCUCUUCUGCCCUCUCCCACAGGCUUCCUUGGUGAAGGGGACGCUGUCACCAAAGCCAUCCAGGAUGCUCGGCAGCUGCUGCACAGCCACAGUGGGGCCUUGGAUGGCUCCCCCAACACCCCCUUCCGUAAGGACCUCAUCAGCCUGGACUCAUCCCCAGCCAAGGAGCGGCUGGAGGACGGCUGUGUGCACCCACUGGAGGAAGCCAUGCUGAGCUGCGACAUGGAUGGCUCCCGCCACUUCCCCGAGUCCCGAAACAGCAGCCACAUCAAGAGGCCCAUGAACGCCUUCAUGGUGU